Molecule: ribosomal RNA, 565 nt
Filed under: uncultured archaeon
Lineage: Archaea
Description: bacterial SSU rRNA
Rfam family: Archaeal small subunit ribosomal RNA
Source: RNAcentral
GCGAUUCGCCCUUCGGGGUGCCCAGGCGCGAAAACUUUACAAUGCUGGCAACAGCGAUAAGGGGACCUCGAGUGCCAGGAUACAAUCUUGGCUGUCGCGAUGCCUAAAAAGCAUUGCAUAGCAAGGGCCGGGCAAGACCGGUGCCAGCCGCCGCGGUAACACCGGCGGCUCGAGUGGUAACCGCUAUUAUUGGGUCUAAAGGGUCUGUAGCCGGCCGGAUAAGUCUUUUGGGAAAUCCAGCUGCUCAACAGUUGGGCUUUCAGAAGAUACUGUUCGGCUCGAGACCGGGAGAGGUGAGAGGUACUUCAGGGGUAGGGGUGAAAUCUUGUAAUCCUUGAAGGACCACCAGUGGCGAAGGCGUCUCACCAGAACGGAUCUGACGGCAAGGGACGAAAGCUAGGGGCACGAACCGGAUUAGAUACCCGGGUAGUCCUAGCCGUAAACGAUACUCGCUAGGUGUCAGCCACGGUGCGACCGUGGUUGGUGCCGUAGGGAAGCCGUGAAGCGAGCCACCUGGGAAGUACGGCCGCAAGGCUGAAACUUAAAGGAAUUGGCGGGGGAGCAC